CUGGCCACGGCAGUUUCAGCGUGACAUCUAUGCCCGUCGGAUGCGUUGGCGGGUUUUUUUCGGGGGUUUUUUCGGGAGCUCGAACCGUGGAGAAGUUUCGAUAGGUGAGGAGGUGCUUUUUUGUAUUCGCGCGCGGAUUUUACGGAUUGUUUUUGCGGCGGGAUCGAUCCGGGACGAGAGUGACCGCGGUCGAGGAUCUUGAUCUGGGAAGUUGUGAUCGAACGAGUGAUUCGCGGUGGGAGUGUUUUUAUUGUUCUUUUUUUGUUCCCUCGUACGAAGCGCGCCCAUCCUGAGAGGAUGAGGAUGCUGUGAAGAGUCCGGAGAGGAAGGUCGUCGUCGUCGUCGUCGUCGCGGCCAAGAAGAAUGGUUAUUAAAUCGAUGACGUCGGUGUUUCUGGUCCCGGUCAGGUUGAAGGGUUGACAUGGUGGUGGAUGGAUGCUGCUCCACUUGCACGAUGAUGGCCAAUCGCAGGGCCUGUGACGGAGGUUAGGGUUGGGCCCUGAGCCCCCGUGACAGCAGUGUGGUGGAAAUCGGCUUGUUGACGACUGAGUGAGCCCGUGCAAGAGUGAUGGUCGUCGUGAUGGUGUACGAUACGAUAGUUCUAGCGUACGAUACAGUCGAUAGGGCUUAAUGGUGCAUCGGUUGUUCUGUGUUGAUACAGGCAUCGUACGGUGAACUUCAGCAGUGUGCUGCAGCAAACAAAAACAAAAGCUCGGCUGCGCAUCGAAGAGGGAGUUGACAUCUCGCAAAAUUAAUUUAGCCGUGAUUCGGCAACUCGCCAAGUGUGCUAAAAAGUGUGAUGAAAAUUGAUUGUGUGGCGAAAGCCGAAAGUGCGCGUGUGUGUGUUGUGUGCAACCAAAGAAGAACUCAACGUCCUUGAAGAGUUUGCCGAAACGUGACCAAGUUCUUGGAAGAGUUUUUGCGCCACAAAGUGUCCAGUCAUGGGAUUUUGCUGGAGCUGUUGAACGGCAAAACUUUUGUUCCGAAGAAAUAAACACGGAAUACCAACAUCAUCCUCCGGUCCGGAAAUCAACACAAAAGGCCACCGCCGAACAAAAGCGCUGAAAGGCCACACAAACACACGGAUUCCGGAAACAACGCAGCCAGGAGCAGCUUUUUUCAAAUUAAGCGGUGUUACGUAUUAUGGAAAACUUUUCCGUUGCGAAUCCAACGAGGCCAGCGGCAGACGUCGAGGGGCGGCUCUGGCGCCCUCGGAUGCAAAUGACUGCUCUGGCAACUUCGGCGGACCCUCCCGGGCGCGGCGACGGCGGCUCGUAAUCGUCGACCAGCCAUAUUGUACGGAUCGUCAGCUUUGGUAGAUCCCUCAAAAUAAAAAAAGGGAAGAAAAAAAAGCGAAAAAAAAGCGAACUUGAGACUUGAGCAUAGCGUGAAAUUGCAACUGAUGGUAUUGUCGGAAUAAUUUAUAAUAAUAUAAUCCACUUCAACGGUAAAAGUUGCGGGAAGACCAUGGUGGAACAGUUCUCAACAAUGGAAAAUAAAAAAGUUGCUCAAGCGGUGAAAUAGACGCGAAUACCUCCACCAAGUACAAGCUACUAAGAGAAGAAGAAGAAGAAAGAAGGUAGAAGUUUAAUCACCUGUUGUAAAACAAAAAAGGAAGAAAAAGUUUGAAGAAAAGAAAGAAAGUAUUAAAGGUAGACAUUUUCCGGAGCCAAGCCAAGCGAAAAAAACGAGGUUCAAAAGUUUCGCAACAAAAGUAGCUUCGGAGGAGAACCGAAAGUGAGAGUGACGUUUGAGCUUUUCGGGGGAGAAGUUGUUCGGGGGAGGGGAGGAAAUGUGUAAGCUUUUUUCGCUCCCUUUUGCUGCUGGUGGGUGGUGGGAGUGUGCGCAAGUGUUAAGGUUAUGGUAAUCCUCGUGAGCACAGCUCGAAAAGUUUGGAAAAUUUUUGGGCCCCAAGUAAAGUGAAAAAGUAAGGGAGAGAGAGAGCAAAAAAAAGAAGCUUCCAGUUGACAAAUGUAACAUCUGCCAUCGUGAGUUGUGGGGAAAAAAAGCAAGAAAAAAAAGAGUAAAGGAAAAAAAGAGUUAGUGUUUUGUGAAGGAUCAGAGAGCUUCGGAGGAUGGCGAACUUGAUGAUCCCGAGGAUGACGGUGACGGUCCAGGUGGGCUGUCUGCUGAUGGUGAUGCUGGUUCAGCUGGCCACCGGAGUCAAAGAUGGUAAGCUUCAAUUUGGAUUUGUGAGAAAAAACAUCUUCAAGCUCAGGUAAAACCAUUCGCCUAAAGUUAUGUGACCAACAGGGAAAAAAAAGAAUAACAGCAAAUCGUUACGAAAAUUGCCAAUUUCCCAGUAGGAAAUCGAGGGCAAACAGGAUGGUUGUUGUCCAAUUUGCUGGCAAACAAAACUCAUUGGCUAGAUAAUUGCCGAUCAAUUCCAUCAAGUGCCAUUUGUUGAACUUGUGUGCUAUCGCCCCUGCGGGUAGGCAAUGCCGGCGCAAAGUUUGCUCAAUCUGGCCGUCCCAAGGGCGUUUUUGUGUUGUGUUUAUGUUUUGUUGUUGGAAAAUCUAAGCUGUCAAGUGCAACAAAAUUAUUCCAGACGAUUUAAUUGGA
Long non-coding RNA from Culex pipiens pallens (northern house mosquito), 2562 nucleotides. RefSeq lists it as uncharacterized. The transcript is spliced from 4 exons. The record is from RefSeq and is a predicted model, not a curated record. NCBI's taxonomy places the organism in Eukaryota, Metazoa, Arthropoda, Insecta, Diptera, Culicidae.